AUGGGUGGAGACGAACGUGGGGCGGAGGCCGUGGCGCGUCAGGCGGCGGCCCAGCUCCAGCAUCGGGUUCGUGUGGCUCGGGGUGUCAAAUGCAACAACGCCGGCGUGCGCAUGGUGGAUGCGAGGGCAGCGGUCACGCUCGACGAGUGGCUCGCCACGGCCACCGCCGACGACGAGAUGGACCUCGCCUACUUCGAGCCCAUGGGGUCCGAGGCAGGGUGGAACAAGUGCGCAGGGUGGAACAUGAGGUGUUUGUUAAAAUGCCAGAGAGAGGGAGGAGGAGGAAGAAGAAUGACGUGUGGGCCCCACCUGUCAUAG
Molecule: ribosomal RNA, 318 nt
Filed under: Triticum aestivum (bread wheat)
Lineage: Eukaryota; Viridiplantae; Streptophyta; Magnoliopsida; Poales; Poaceae
Description: partial small subunit ribosomal RNA
Source: RNAcentral